Molecule: long non-coding RNA, 644 nt
Filed under: Phoenix dactylifera (date palm)
Lineage: Eukaryota; Viridiplantae; Streptophyta; Magnoliopsida; Arecales; Arecaceae
Description: long non-coding RNA (PDAC_LNC001430)
Source: RNAcentral
AUGAUUUCUCGAUCAACUUCUAUACGAUAUCUAUUUAGCCUAAGCUCUUGGGACAUUAUCCUGAAAUCCACUAUACAUGUUCUCACUCCACCAUGUGGCGAAUUAGAUUGGUAUCCACUAUGUAUCGAUUUGAGCAAAGAUGUAGUCUAAACAUUGCCCUCCACAUUCCAUCGGCCAUCAACCAUAUAGGGUGAUGGCAUGUACAGUCAUCCAAGUACCUAGACCGAAGCUCCAACAUUCAACUCUCUAAAUAAUUGCACUUGUAAGAAUUUUCGCUCUUCUUAAAUUUAUCUUUUUCAUAGUAUGGGAAUCAUAUAGCGGCACUUCCUCUCCUCUAUAGUAGUUGCGUGCUGAUAUAGCAUGUGUAGUAUUUUGAAGGGACAAUGUUAUCUAAUUUUUGAAGAUCUCAUAAUUACUACACAAUCUCUUCAUGCCAUACCUUGGUAUGGGGCACUGUCCUAUUAUAUAUCGGGCACCAUCAUCAUAUUCGUCUCCUUCAUAGCAAUCUUUAUCUAGCUCUUAUCUUCUGCUCCACAACUUGUCUUCAUUGCUUGUUUACUUGCCAUGGAUUAGGAGGCUCGAUUCCAUGCUAAUGUUGAAUAGCGUCAAGAGGAUCUUGAAUGCGUUGGCGUCCUCAAGAAGCU